This is a long non-coding RNA of Ornithodoros turicata, 321 nucleotides long. RefSeq lists it as uncharacterized. The transcript has 4 exons. The record is from RefSeq and is a predicted model, not a curated record. NCBI's taxonomy places the organism in Eukaryota, Metazoa, Arthropoda, Arachnida, Ixodida, Argasidae.
UCUCGUUUCUUCCAUUAUCCAGGCCCCAAAACAAGUGCAACUCGGCCAACAUUCACCACUGUUGCGGCAUCCACCCGUGUGUUCUCUGCAAACACCUCCUCAAAUGCCAGCAAGUCCAGUGCUGCAAGAGAACGCCAUCCCAUCAUCACCACGCAUGUUUGUGGUGGUCCCACGUAAAUUGGAGUAUCGUUCACCUACAAGCAUGACAAAAACAAAACCAGUUGUGGUGCACCGAUCAACAUAUACACAGACAGACGUAGCUGCGAAAGCACUGCAGGAACGGGGUUGUCAGACAGAGCCAUGGGAACUGCCAGUUGAAAG